Molecule: ribosomal RNA, 468 nt
Filed under: uncultured bacterium
Lineage: Bacteria
Description: partial 16S ribosomal RNA
Rfam family: Bacterial small subunit ribosomal RNA
Source: RNAcentral
GACGAACGCUGGCGGCGUGCUUAACACAUGCAAGUCGAACGGAAAGGCCCUGCUUUUGUGGGGUGCUCGAGUGGCGAACGGGUGAGUAACACGUGAGUAACCUGCCCUUGACUUUGGGAUAACUUCAGGUAACUGGGGCUAAUACCGGAUAGGAGCUCCUGCUGCAUGGUGGGGGUUGGAAAGUUUGGGCGGUUGGGGAUGGACUCGCGGCUUAUCAGCUUGUUGGUGGGGUAGUGGCUUACCAAGGCUUUGACGGGUAGCCGGCCUGAGAGGGUGACCGGCCACAUUGGGACUGAGAGACGGCCCAGACUCCUACGUGAGGCAGCAGGGGGGAAUAUUGCACAAUGGGCGGAAGCCUGAUGCAGCAACGCCGCGUGCGGGAUGACGGCCUUCGGGUUGUAAACCGCUUUCGCCUGUGACGAAGCGUGAGUGACGGUAAUGGGUAAAGAAGCACCGGCUAACUACGUG